Molecule: ribosomal RNA, 357 nt
Filed under: Triticum aestivum (bread wheat)
Lineage: Eukaryota; Viridiplantae; Streptophyta; Magnoliopsida; Poales; Poaceae
Description: partial small subunit ribosomal RNA
Source: RNAcentral
ACGACGGCCGAGGACAAGCUUCUUUGCGAGUGUUGGCGAGACAUUGGACAAGACCCCAAGACGGGCGCCGAGCAAAAGCCUUCAACCUUUUGGAUUCGUGUCCACCGAGAGUUUCAUGAGUGCAAGAAGUUUCCGCCUUACCAAUUUAUGAGCACGCGCGGGUGGGUCUUCAUUUCCAAGCGGUGGAGGGUGAUCCAACAAGAGUGCAACAAGUUUUGCGCCACUCUUGAGAGCGUCAAGGCCCGCCCCGUGAGCGGCAUCGGCAUGCAAGACAUGGCAUUUCAAGCUUUGGAGGCAUUCAAGGUUCAACACAAUGGCAAGUGCUUCAACCUUUCCGAUUGCUAUCGGGUCAUCAAG